Molecule: small nucleolar RNA, 128 nt
Organism: Rattus norvegicus (Norway rat)
Lineage: Eukaryota; Metazoa; Chordata; Mammalia; Rodentia; Muridae
Product: small nucleolar RNA SNORA17
Source: Ensembl
CCUGCCCCAGAGGUGUCGGAGGUAUGGCUGUGCAUCCUGUCUGUCAGUAGGUGGCAGAGAAAAGAGAGGCUAUGUCAAUGCUCAGUAUUCUGACCUAUGGACAUCUGAAUGAUUAGUAGCUUAAUAUU